GACGAACGCUGGCGGCGUGCUUAACACAUGCAAGUCGAACGGAAAGGCUCCUGCUUGCCGGGGUACUCGAGUGGCGAACGGGUGAGUAACACGUGGGUGAUCUGCCUUGUACUCUGGGAUAAGCUUGGGAAACUGGGUCUAAUACCGGAUAAUAACUGCCUUUAGUGUGGUGGUUGGAAAGUUUUUUCGGUGCAAGAUGAGCUCGCGGCCUAUCAGCUUGUUGGUGGGGUAAUGGCCUACCAAGGCGUCGACGGGUAGCCGGCCUGAGAGGGUGUACGGCCACAUUGGGACUGAGAUACGGCCCAGACUCCUACGGGAGGCAGCAGUGGGGAAUAUUGCACAAUGGGCGGAAGCCUGAUGCAGCGACGCCGCGUGGGGGAUGACGGCCUUCGGGUUGGAAACUCCUUUCGACAGGGACGAAGCUUUUUGUGACGGUACCUGUAUAAGAAGCACCGGCUAACUACGUG
Molecule: ribosomal RNA, 467 nt
Filed under: uncultured bacterium
Lineage: Bacteria
Description: partial 16S ribosomal RNA
Rfam family: Bacterial small subunit ribosomal RNA
Source: RNAcentral